This 67-nucleotide transfer RNA is filed under the name Algete brunneri. RNAcentral describes it as "tRNA-Thr". It matches the Rfam family "tRNA". From Rfam's summary of the family: Transfer RNA (tRNA) molecules are approximately 80 nucleotides in length. Their secondary structure includes four short double-helical elements and three loops (D, anti-codon, and T loops). Further hydrogen bonds mediate the characteristic L-shaped molecular structure. tRNAs have two regions of fundamental functional importance: the anti-codon, which is responsible for specific mRNA codon recognition, and the 3' end, to which the tRNAs corresponding amino acid is attached (by aminoacyl-tRNA synthetases). tRNAs cope with the degeneracy of the genetic code in two manners: having more than one tRNA (with a specific anti-codon) for a particular amino acid; and 'wobble' base-pairing, i.e. permitting non-standard base-pairing at the 3rd anti-codon position. The record is from RNAcentral. Lineage: Eukaryota; Metazoa; Arthropoda; Insecta; Orthoptera; Pyrgomorphidae.
GUUUUAAUAGUUUAAUAAAAACAUUGGUCUUGUAAACCAAAAUUAAGAUACCCCCCCUUUUAAAACU